CCCGAGUUGCGUACUCUUCUAUACCACUUAUCUAUUCCCUCCCAAAUUGGGAGAAAAAUAUGGCUCAGUCAUAUUUAAGAAAUCGCCCCUCCGUCGCCGGAGUGCAAGUUAUGGCAAAAAGCGUGGCAUCCGACAUGGGAAUAAAAAAAAAUAAAAUAAAAUUAAAAAAUAAAAUUAAAAUAAAAUUAAAAAAAUAAAAAAUCCCCAACGAAAGCAGGUUACUAGUAUGUAUGUGUUCGGGACGCAAGACAGCUCCGCUUUCAUACGCUUUCCAACAACCCCGCCGUAUACGUCUACCCCCACCCCUAUCUCCCCCGAGGAUGAAGUGGAAGAUAUGCAAAUGGACAGCUCAAAUAUUGAUCUACCCCCUCCCUUGCCAGUGUGUGUAAGACGGUGACCAUUUGUAUGUACCCCGGGUACAUCAAUUCCCCAAAAUGCUCGCUCCUGUGUGUGAAACACUCAAAGCAUUGCAUGGCAACAUGGAGUCACAGUACUUCAAAAGAAACGUGGCCAAAUGACACGACGCUUUUACUUUAAGGUAGUGAUUGAGCUCUCCGUCAGGCCCUGCUAACAAUCCAUCGAUGGGGUUACGCGAUUCCAACUCUCAACUGG
This 612-nucleotide small RNA is filed under the name Histoplasma ohiense. Its description in RNAcentral is "hypothetical lncRNA". The record is from RNAcentral. Lineage: Eukaryota; Fungi; Ascomycota; Eurotiomycetes; Onygenales; Ajellomycetaceae.